UUCACUUAGAUUGGAGUUGUUGUUCCAAUCUUAAAUAUCUAUCGUCAUCUAUCAAGAUGGAAUCUCUACAUACUCUACUUCUUGUUGACUGCAUGAAUCUUGAAAGAAUCACAUACAUCUCUAGGGAGAUGGAGAGUUUGUUAGUUUGAUAUGGUUGCGACAGCAUAUGGGCGAUACCACUGUCAAUAAGAUUUUUGACUGGCCUUAAGGUUUUGACCAUGGAAAUUAGAAAUAUUCUCAUGGAUGUAGAACAGGAGCUUGAAGAGUUUUUUUUCAAAAAAAAAAAUACAGCCAAGUAAAUAUAAGUGGUUCCAUCACUUAUUCAAGUUCUAAGGGCAGAUCGUUGCACGUCUUUGCAAAAGUUGGUGAUUUAUCAGAUAAAUAUAAGUGGUUGUUGAAGAUCUCAUACAAUGGCUGCUCCAAACUCAUAAUGGAUCAAGGGAGUGUAAGCAACCUUACUAAUCUCAAUCUGUUGAUGAAAUCUUUAAUAAUCAAGAAAUGUGUUGCUGUGAAUAGCAUCGUAGUUCCUGGAAGCAAACUUCCACGGUGGUUCAGCAACCAAAGGUUGGUGAUUAGACCCCCCUAAGUUUUCCUAAAAAACAGAACACUAGAAAGACAAGGUUAGCCAUAUGUUGUCUCUUUUGUUCUCCAAUGCUUAAAUCAUACCAUUUCCUCAAUAUCAAAUUCAAACUGUGUGGUGAAGAAAAAUUGAUUGAAAUUCCACUACCUCCUGCCACUGAAAGUGCAGACUUUGUGUGGAUUGGAUGUAUAUCAAUCGAUUUAGUUCAAAAUCUUUGUUAUGGUUUUGAUUCUGAAGAUCUUAUCAUAAGUUUGGACCUGCCCUUUAAGUCUUUAACGACAUCAUGGAAUGUGGGGUGUGUCUAGUAUACAAAGAUGAGAUCCAAUCGAUGCCGGGAGUUGGGUCAUGGAUCCCAGACUAUGACAGUACAAGAAUGGAUUUUAUGAAGCAUCGAAGAUUGUCCUUGUCAACCUUUCUAUUCAGUCAUGAAAAAACCGGAGACCACAAUACAGCUAUGGUGUUGCCGGUAUCUUUCUUAUGCCAUAUCUCUAGUACAAGAAACUUUGGUCCUUAACUGAUGAGCUGAUUAAUGAUUACUGUAACAUAACAAAUGAUAUAAUGCACUCGUAAUUAAACAUAUAUGCAGUUUUAUCA
Long non-coding RNA from Erigeron canadensis, 1174 nucleotides. RefSeq lists it as uncharacterized. Lineage: Eukaryota; Viridiplantae; Streptophyta; Magnoliopsida; Asterales; Asteraceae. The transcript has 2 exons. The record is from RefSeq and is a predicted model, not a curated record.